This 466-nucleotide ribosomal RNA is filed under the name uncultured bacterium. Its description in RNAcentral is "partial 16S ribosomal RNA". It matches the Rfam family "Bacterial small subunit ribosomal RNA", at positions 28 to 507 of the family's 1533-position model. The record is from RNAcentral.
GACGAACGCUGGCGGCGUGCUUAACACAUGCAAGUCGAACGGAAAGGCCCUGCUUGCAGGGUCCUCGAGUGGCGAACGGGUGAGUAACACGUGGGUGAUCUGCCCUGCACUUCGGGAUAAGCUUGGGAAACUGGGUCUAAUACCGGAUAGGAACCAUCUUUAGUGUGGUGGUUGGAAAGUUUUUUCGGUGUAGGAUGAGCUCGCGGCCUAUCAGCUUGUUGGUGGGGUAAUGGCCUACCAAGGCGGCGACGGGUAGCCGGCCUGAGAGGGUGUACGGCCACAUUGGGCCUGGGAUACGGGCCAGACUCCUGCGGGAGGCAGCAGUGGGGAAUAUUGCACAAUGGGCGCAAGCCGGAUGCAGCGACGCGGCGUGGGGGAUGAAGGCCUUCGGGUUGUAAACUCCUUUCGCUAGGGACGAAGCUUUGUUGUGACGGUACCUAGAUAAGAAGCACCGGCUAACUCCGUG